GGGGUGACAUUAUGGGACAGUACUAUGAAGCAGCGCAAGGGGGGUGAUUCUAUGGGUCGAUGCUAUGGGACAGAACUAUGCGUCCCCCCCAGACUGGGGACUCUGUGGGGAAGUGCUAUGGGGUGAUGCUAUAGGGCAACACUAUGGGGCAGUGCUCUAGGAAGCUGGUAUGAAGUGAUGCUAUGGGCCGGAACAAUGGGAUGUCACUAUGGGGCAUUGCUAAGGGGGUGACAUUAUGUGGCAGCGCUAUGAGGUCACAGUAUGGUGCAUUGCUAUGGAGUGACACUGUGGAGCAGCGCUUUGGAGUUGAGGGAAGUUGCGGGGGUGAUGGCCAAAGUGCUCUCCAUCAUCUGUCAGCACUCCUGGUCAGCUGGAGAGGUCUCAGAAGACGGAGAAUUGCCAACGUGAUCCCAUCUCCAAGAAGGGCUGUAAGGAGAAUCCAGGAACUGCAGGCUGCCAGCCUGAGUCGGGUGCCAGGAAAGGGUCUCCUACUGUGAUAUCAUUUCAACAUGCCUGAAAUCAGCAACCAGUUGCUUCCUCUGACUGAAGUAAUUCCCUUGACCCAAAAGAUUGAUGCAAGUACAGCAGACAUCAUCAAACUAUUUUCCGAAUUGCAUUGCAAAGUUGUGUAUGGCCACCAUCCUCCAAAUUCAUUCCCUGAACAGAUCUUUGGCAUGAUGCUCCUGACAUUCCCAGUUUCCCAAACCCACAAAAUAAAUAGGGUUUUGAAGGCCAAGUGCCACGUGCCCUUCAUCCUUUCACAGCAUAACAGAGUUG
RNAcentral lists this long non-coding RNA (777 nucleotides) under Gallus gallus (chicken). Its description in RNAcentral is "long non-coding RNA NONGGAT001217". Lineage: Eukaryota; Metazoa; Chordata; Aves; Galliformes; Phasianidae. The record is from RNAcentral.